AAGCCCCAGUAAACGGCGGCCGUAACUAUAACGGUCCUAAGGUAGCGAAAUUCCUUGUCAGGUAAGUUCUGACCCGCACGAAAGGCGUAACGAUUUGGGCGCUGUCUCAGCUGUAGACUCGGUGAAGUCUUAGUACCUGUGAAGAUGCAGGUUACCCGCGACUAGACGGAAAGACCCCAUGGAGCUUUACUGUAGCUUGAUAUUGGACUUUGAUGCAAGAUGUACAGGAUAGGUAGGAGACUGAGAGACAUGCACGCCAGUGUGUGAGGAGUCAAUGUUGGGAUACUACUCUUCUUGUAUUGGAGUUCUAACCGGAUGCCAUGGAACUGGCAACGGGACAGUGUCAGGUGGGCAGUUUGACUGGGGCGGUCGCCUCCCAAAGAGUAACGGAGGCGCCCAAAGAUACCCUCAGCUUGGAUGGAAAUCAAGCGCAGAGUGCAAAGGCAUAAGGGUGUUUGACUGCGAGACCUACAAGUCGAGCAGGGACGAAAGUCGGGCUUAGUGAUCCGGCGGUGCUGAAUGGAAAGGCCGUCGCUCAACGGAUAAAAGCUACCCUGGGGAUAACAGGCUGAUCUCCCCCAAGAGUUCACAUCGACGGGGAGGUUUGGCACCUCGAUGUCGGCUCAUCGCAUCCUGGAGCUGAAGUCGGUUCCAAGGGUUGGGCUGUUCGCCCAUUAAAGCGGUACGCGAGCUGGGUUCAGAACGUCGUGAGACAGUUCGGUCCCUAUCUGUCGUGGGCGUAGGAAGUUUGAGAAGAUCUGUCCUCAGUACGAGAGGACCGGGAUGGACAUAUCAAUGGUGCACCAGUUGUCACGCCAGUGGCACAGCUGGGUAGCUAAAUAUGGAAGGGAUAAACGCUGAAGGCAUCUAAGUGUGAAACCCACUUCAAGAUGAGACUUCCCAUUACGCAAGUAAGUAAGACCCCUUAAAGACGAUAAGGUUGAUAGGUCAGGAGUGUAAGCAUGGCGACAUGUUCAGCGGACUGAUACUAAUAGGUCGAGGACUUAACCUA
Molecule: ribosomal RNA, 1012 nt
Filed under: Thomasclavelia ramosa
Lineage: Bacteria; Bacillati; Bacillota; Erysipelotrichia; Erysipelotrichales; Coprobacillaceae
Also listed under: 1 other name
Description: partial 23S ribosomal RNA
Rfam family: Bacterial large subunit ribosomal RNA
Source: RNAcentral